CCCAGACUCCACGGGAGGCAGCAGUGGGGAAUAUUGCACAAUGGGGGAAACCCUGAUGCAGCAACGCCGCAUGAGUGAGGAAGUAUUUCGGUAUGUAAAGCUCUAUCAGCAGGGAAUAGAAAAGAAGGUACCUGAAAAAGAAGCCCCGGCUAACUACGUGCCAGCAGCCGCGGUAAUACGUAGGGGGCAAGCGUUAUCCGGAUUUACUGGGUGUAAAGGGGGCGCAGACGGCAGCGCAAGCCAGGAGUGAAAGCCCGGGGCCCAACCCCGGGACUGCUCUUGGAACUGCGCGGCUGGAGUGCAGGAGGGGCAGGCGGAAUUCCUGGUGUAGCGGUGAAAUGCGUAGAUAUCAGGAGGAACACCGGUGGCGAAGGCGGCCUGCUGGACUGCGACUGACGUUGAGGCCCGAAAGCGUGGGGAGCAAACAGGAUUAGAUACCCCUGUACG
Molecule: ribosomal RNA, 447 nt
Filed under: uncultured bacterium
Lineage: Bacteria
Description: bacterial SSU rRNA
Rfam family: Bacterial small subunit ribosomal RNA
Source: RNAcentral